AUGUUUGCAGAAGUUAGAAGACAAAGGGGAAAACUGAAUUCUGAGAUGAUUAUAGAGCAACAGAUUAGACAAAAAUAUAUUUCUCAAGAAAGCUGCAAACUGCAUAUCAAGUGUCCGGUGGGGUUUGGGAGGCAAUGAUGAACAUUCAUUUCAAGAAAUUUCUUUUGGAUUCAGGUAGUACUGAGUACAUGAAAAAGGGAUGAAGAUAUCUCACUGAAUUUCCUGCAUAUUGGAACAUCUGACCUGGUUUUAAUGUUUGAAUAUUGUGGGAUUUUACAUUUAUGAUACAUUUUUAGUAAAAUCUUUAUUUUGAAAGCAGCAGCAGCAUGUUUCUAAUUUCCUUAUUUUACUGCACUUUCUAGUGUUAGCUACAGUAGAAAAUUCAGAACCUCUGCACUGACAUUGGCACUAACUGUUCAGCAGUGCAG
This 428-nucleotide long non-coding RNA is filed under the name Cyanistes caeruleus (blue tit). RNAcentral's name for it is "lncRNA (ENSCCEG00000023484.1)". Lineage: Eukaryota; Metazoa; Chordata; Aves; Passeriformes; Paridae. The record is from RNAcentral.